CAGGCAAAUUUUUACUUGAUUAGGUUAAUUAUACAAGGAAGAAAAUGUAUGGGCCAGUUACAUAUCUAUAACUAUUGACUGGUGUUGGAAGAGAGUUUCUCUUUCCAUUAUGUCACUUUGUUUAACAUCAUCUCUUAGUGACCUGGAGAUCAAAGACCACUGAGAAAUUUAGGUAUAGAUGAGCUCUCAGAGAAAGGAAGUUAAAGAACCAAGGAACCAACAAGACAGGAAACGGAUUCCAUAGGGACUGUUCCCUCUUGGUGGCCCAGGCAAUUUAAGAAACUAUGGCUGGUACUUUAGAUGAUCUGUGAGAGCUAAUGGGUGAAGAAAACAGCUUAUAAGGGGAGACCCAGAAGAUCUUGGGAGGUCUUCUUGCUGGAGCAUGGAGGUUGGAGGAACUAUUAUCAAAAUGAGAUUUGGGCAAAAUCUCCAACUAAUUUGGGACCAUUUAAAUCAGCCAUCCCAAUCUCUAUUGCCACCAAAGGAGUAAAAUCAUGGUUUAUACUUCAAUAUCUACUGUCUAAGGAGGUAAUUAUUGGUAUUAAUCCUAUAAUUGACUUUCUCAUUAAACAAGGGAUUGUUGCUACAUGUACGUCAGAGAUGAAUACUCCUAUUCUCCCAAUAAAGAAGCCAAAACCUGGCCCUAAGCCCCUCUACCAUUUUGUUCAGAAUCUUAGAGAAUUUAAUGCUUAUGUGGUUGCUCUUCAUCCAGUUGUGCCUAAUCUACCACUAUUGUGGCUGCUAUUCCUUGAGAUAUCACUUGUUUUUUUACUAUUUGAUUUGUACGCUGCUUUCUAUCCUAUCCAUUUCAGCCCUGAUCCCAAUAUUUGUUUGCAUUUACCUGAUUAAACAAUAAGUGUAUUUGGACCAGAAUUCUACAGGUUUUCAUAAACUCUCCAACAAUAUUUUCCUCAGAUUUUGCAGAAGAUUUAUCCACUAUCACCUUUAAAGUUUCCACCUUGAACCAGAAUGUGAAUAACUUGCUCCUGGCCUUCCCUAGCCAAGAAGUUUGCUAUUAGAAUAGUUGCCAUUUCAUUCAGGAACUCUGUUAGUAGGGACAAAAGAUAUCCAGAGUAAAGAUACAGCAGUGUCAAAUACAAGUUGAAUAUUUGGGUUUUAUUUUGUCACCAGGAAAAAGGACUAUUUUCCUAAAAAGGAGACAAGUCCAACAGAACCUAUCAGUACACAGGACCAAGAAAUAAAUGUAUGUUACAUACCGGACA
This 1223-nucleotide long non-coding RNA is filed under the name Monodelphis domestica (gray short-tailed opossum). RNAcentral describes it as "lncRNA (ENSMODG00000033917.2)". The record is from RNAcentral. Lineage: Eukaryota; Metazoa; Chordata; Mammalia; Didelphimorphia; Didelphidae.